Molecule: ribosomal RNA, 520 nt
Filed under: Lacticaseibacillus paracasei
Lineage: Bacteria; Bacillati; Bacillota; Bacilli; Lactobacillales; Lactobacillaceae
Description: bacterial SSU rRNA
Rfam family: Bacterial small subunit ribosomal RNA
Source: RNAcentral
UGCACCGAGAUUCAACAUGGAACGAGUGGCGGACGGGUGAGUAACACGUGGGUAACCUGCCCUUAAGUGGGGGAUAACAUUUGGAAACAGAUGCUAAUACCGCAUAGAUCCAAGAACCGCAUGGUUCUUGGCUGAAAGAUGGCGUAAGCUAUCGCUUUUGGAUGGACCCGCGGCGUAUUAGCUAGUUGGUGAGGUAAUGGCUCACCAAGGCGAUGAUACGUAGCCGAACUGAGAGGUUGAUCGGCCACAUUGGGACUGAGACACGGCCCAAACUCCUACGGGAGGCAGCAGUAGGGAAUCUUCCACAAUGGACGCAAGUCUGAUGGAGCAACGCCGCGUGAGUGAAGAAGGCUUUCGGGUCGUAAAACUCUGUUGUUGGAGAAGAAUGGUCGGCAGAGUAACUGUUGCCGGCGUGACGGUAUCCAACCAGAAAGCCACGGCUAACUACGUGCCAGCAGCCGCGGUAAUACGUAGGUGGCAAGCGUUAUCCGGAUUUAUUGGGCGUAAAGCGAGCGCAGGC